AAACAGGAUUUAAGUGCAGUAUAGCUGCUAAGUGCUCUAAGUGUCGUUUCCCUGCUCAAAACAACUUUCUUUCUUUACUAUACCUGUCUGCUAGACAACUGUAGCAGCCAGGGACACUUGGUCCCAUACAU
Nannospalax galili (Upper Galilee mountains blind mole rat) is the source of this 131-nucleotide small nucleolar RNA. Its record names the gene SNORA63. It matches the Rfam family "Small nucleolar RNA SNORA63". From Rfam's summary of the family: E3 belongs to the H/ACA class of snoRNAs and is involved in the processing of eukaryotic pre-rRNA and has regions of complementarity to 18S rRNA. NCBI's taxonomy places the organism in Eukaryota, Metazoa, Chordata, Mammalia, Rodentia, Spalacidae. The record is from Ensembl.